Molecule: non-coding RNA, 3614 nt
Organism: Sturnus vulgaris (Common starling)
Lineage: Eukaryota; Metazoa; Chordata; Aves; Passeriformes; Sturnidae
Source: RefSeq, a predicted model, not a curated record
CCACAGAAGUGCAGGGUUUUACUUGGUUGCAUCUGGUAUUUUCUAAGAUGACUCAAUCAAGACAAAGGAAUACCUGAUGUUUCAAGGGUUAUAGCCAGGGGAGUGCUUAUCUGUGACCUCAGGCAGCUGGCACUGAUGUCUCUUGGUACAGGAAUUUCACAUCUAACCAUUUAGUGGCUUUGGAUAUGCAUUCCCCAGUGUCUCUGCAAUGAAGUUAAGACAGCUGUGUGCAGCUUUCUGAGGAAGCUGCAGCAUGUGCUGGAAUGUGGGAUGUUCCCUCUGUGCUGAGGAGUCUGCUCAUGUGGGUGAUGGCUGGCAGGAGCAGGGCUGGGUUUCUCCAGGGCCACUGGGAGUUCUGGCCAUGCUGAGGUGUGUCCCAGACACAACCUGUAACCUUGAAAGCUAAUGGAGAGAGCUGAAGCAGCUUGGAAAGGGUCCAAAAGGAUCCAAGUAUUAAAAAAAAGUAUGAAAGUCCAAAUAAGGAUAUUAUAGCACUGCAUAUAUAGCUAAUGCCCUUUAAAACAGAAAUCUCAGGCAUUGCUUUCAGAAAUAGAAAGAUUGUAAAAUGAAAAUGCCAGCAGAAAUCUGAGCAUUCCCUGGGGAGAGUGAGAUAAUUGGUGUGAUAAAUGAAAAAGCCAUUGGAAUAAAUUCAAAGAGAAAUGAAGGAUUUUGGUGCUUCUCUCCAUGUUCUGUUGGGUGGGUUGAAGUCUCUGCUGUGGGCUCUGGUGAGUCCCAGACAAUCCCAAACUGGCUGAUGCUCACUUGAACCCUUCAGUGAGGGUUUCACCAUCUGACCAUGUUAACAGCAGCUUUACAGCUGUGCUGGGAUUGUCUGGAUGGCCACACUAGACCAGCAGCAUUCCUUGGAAAAGCCAUUGCAGCCUUUGCCAAGAAGCUGAGCAUCACAGAUGCCUUUAGAAGCUCCCUGGACUAAUGAUAAAAAAGACUGUGGUGCCAUCUAUGGUCAAGUGAGGAGACUGGCUCUGAGCCAGCCCUGCUGCUGUGCUGACACUCGCACAUUGGGCUUUGCCUCACAUGUGCAGGAUUUCUGUAGAUUUAGGUCAGGAAAUAUGUCAGAAUUCUGAGUAUUGGAGGGUUUUGAGGCAGUUAUGUGCUUUAACCACAUGCUGGAUUGGCAUUUGGAAGUCUAGAUCUCCCUUUGUGCACUUAGCAGCUAGUUAAGUGAGCCAACAUGUAUGUUUUUAUUCUUCUGGGUCAUGCUGGCCCUGUCUAGAAAAUUGAGAUAAUUUUCAGUGAAAUAGAAUAUUCUGAAAUCUGCUGACACUGCAGGAAAACUGGGUGAUGGUAUUUGUGGUAAACCAAUUGGGAGUAAACCCAUGAGGAAUGAAGUCUGACUUUCCACUUUAAGAAUGGCUUAGACCUGAUCAGAUGGACUUCUGUAAUCUCCUAAUGUAAAACAUCAUGAUUUAUCCAAUCAUAUGGAAACAAAUACAAGAGCAACUUCACAGGGGACAAAGCAGUGUGAGCUGUGCUCCUGUGACACCUCAUGGCUGGAGGUGCUGACCUGGGCAGAGACUGCUUGGUUUGUGUGCAGGGUGGUGAGCACAUGUGAGCAAUGCUUCCCUAAACCCUGCUCUUGUUCUCCACCAGAGCUCUCCCAGGGAUCCCCCCAGACGGUACGAAGGGACUUUGGCCUGGCUGUGACCCACAGGUUCUCUACCAAGUCCUGGUUAUCCCAGAUUUGCCAAGUGUGCCAGAAGAGCAUGAUGUUCGGGGUGAAGUGUAAGUACUGCAGAUUAAAAUGUCACAACAAAUGUACUAAAGAGGCACCUGCUUGUAGACUAUCCUUCCUUCCCAUAACAAAAAUAAGAAGAACAGAGUCUGUCCCGUCUGAUAUCAAUAAUCCAGUGGACAGACCCACAGAACCCCAGUUUGGAACUCUCCCCAAAGCACUAACUAAAAAGGAGCAUCCACCAGCAAUAAACCACCUGGACUCCAGCAGUAAUCCUUCUUCUACAACCUCAUCCACCCCAUCUUCCCCAGCACCUUUCCAGUCUUCCAACCCUCCCAGUGCGACGCCGCCCCCAAACCCAUCCCCCAUGGGCCAGAGGGACGGGAGGUUCAACUUCCCAGCUGCCUACUACCUUCAGCAUAGACAACAGUUUAUCUUCCCAGAAAUUCCCAGUCCUGCACAAACAGCACAGCUUCCAGAAACUGCUGCAGACACUAAUGCUGCCCAGCAGCCGGGCACGGGCGGAGGCGUGCGGGAAGCACAGGUGGAGGAACCAGAGGCGAGCAAGUCGGAGGCCGAGGAUGAUGAGGAUGAGGUGGAAGAUCUGCCCAACCGGCGGCCGCACCUGCAGGGGAUGAUCUACCGCAAACCCAGCCAGACCAGCGUGUACCUGCAGGAGUGGGACAUCCCCUUCGAGCAGAUCCAGCUGGGGGACCCCAUCGGCCAGGGCCGCUGGGGCAAGGUCUACAAGGGCAAGUGGCACGGGGAGGUGGCCAUCAGGCUGCUGGAGAUCGAUGGCAACAACCAGGAUCAUCUCAAGCUCUUCAAGAAGGAGGUGAUGAACUACAGGCAGACCCGGCAUGAGAACGUGGUGCUGUUCAUGGGGGCCUGCAUGAACCCCCCUCACUUAGCAAUCAUUACCAGCUUCUGCAAAGGAAGGACGCUGCACUCCUUUGUGAGGGACCCCAAGAUCUCCCUGGACAUCAACAAAACCAGGCAGAUAGCACAGGAGAUCAUUAAGGGCAUGGGGUAUCUCCACGCAAAGGGGAUUGUACAUAAGGAUCUGAAAUCCAAAAAUGUCUUCUAUGACAAUGGGAAAGUUGUCAUCACCGACUUUGGAUUAUUUGGAAUUUCGGGUGUGGUUCAGGAAGGAAGGAGGGAGAAUGAACUGAAGCUGCCUCAUGAUUGGUUGUGCUACCUGGCCCCUGAGAUUGUCCGUGAGAUGGCCCCAGGGAAAGACGAAGACAAGCUGCCUUUCUCCAAAGCUGCAGAUAUCUAUGCCUUUGGGACCGUGUGGUACGAGCUGCAGGCACGGGAGUGGCCGUUCAAGAGCCAGCCUGCAGAGGCCCUCAUCUGGCAGAUCGGCAGCGGCGAGGGAGUGAGACAGGUCCUUGCCACUGUCAGCCUGGGCAAAGAGGUCAAUGAAAUCCUCUCUGCCUGCUGGGCCUUCGAUGUCAGCGAGAGGCCGAGCUUCACUGUCCUCAUGGAAAUGCUUGAAAAGCUGCCAAAACUCAACCGCCGGCUCUCGCACCCAGGGCACUUCUGGAAGUCUGCUGAGUUGUAGCUACUGGUGCAAUAACGGGCUCCACCUUGCAUGCUUCCAUGUGUCGUAUCCUAACCGGCAACUUGGACAAUCACCUUCCAUUAAAAAAGCAAAAACAAACCACGAAAUUAACCCAUGGACAUAAUCAACACUUUAUCCGAGUUCUUCUCUCUGCCUUUUGCUUGGUGUGGGCUGUAGCUUCAAUAACCACUCCUGUCUGCGAGACCUUCCUGGCUAACACCGGCUCCUCUGCCCCGGAGGCUGCAGCAGCUGGGACCCCUCCUGGAGGGCACAGGGACCUGCUCUGACUGACCAGCAUUAACAGUAGCAAAGUUGUCCUGCGUUUUGAAAGAUUUGGCUUGGGAAUCCUGGAACCGA